This 253-nucleotide ribosomal RNA is filed under the name uncultured bacterium. RNAcentral's name for it is "partial 16S ribosomal RNA". It matches the Rfam family "Bacterial small subunit ribosomal RNA", at positions 524 to 776 of the family's 1533-position model. The record is from RNAcentral.
UACAGAGGUCCCAAGCGUUGUUCGGAUUCAUUGGGCGUAAAGGGUGCGUAGGCGGCGCGGUAAGUCGGGUGUGAAAUCUCGGAGCUUAACUCCGAAACUGCAUACGAUACUGCCGUGCUUGAGGACUGGAGAGGAGACUGGAAUUUACGGUGUAGCGGUGAAAUGCGUAGAUAUCGUAAGGAAGACCAGUGGCGAAGGCGGGUCUCUGGACAGUUCCUGACGCUGAGGCACGAAGGCCAGGGGAGCAAACGGG